Molecule: transfer RNA, 71 nt
Filed under: Alistipes sp.
Lineage: Bacteria; Pseudomonadati; Bacteroidota; Bacteroidia; Bacteroidales; Rikenellaceae
Description: tRNA-Thr
Rfam family: tRNA
About the family: Transfer RNA (tRNA) molecules are approximately 80 nucleotides in length. Their secondary structure includes four short double-helical elements and three loops (D, anti-codon, and T loops).
Source: RNAcentral
GCGGGGUAGUGCAGUGGUUACCACGGUUGGGUCGUGUCCAACAGACACAAGUUCGAUUCUUGUCCCCGCUA